CCGUCAAGCUGUGUCCGUCGUUCCGUAUCGAGAAGAAGUGUUUGGACGUCGUCGUCCUUUGUUUUCACACUUGCUACGAAGGACAAGAAGACGACGAAGAGAAUAGUGUCGGGCGUAGCUCAAGUAGACAGGUCCGUUGUUGUUCCUGUAAGUCUUUGUCCUGACUGCCCCUACGGAACGACCUUGACUUCCGUUCGGAUUUGUUAGUGGUCCCUGUCCCUCAGGAUCUACGUACCUUGUGUUGAUCACUGAAGACGGCCACCGGACCACAGUCAACGUCGGAAUUCGUAUUCCUGUCCCAUUGCCAGGAAUUAGAGAGGAGUCUCCCGGAACGUCCGUGUUAGUGUGGAAGGUAACCCUUGGAGUGCAAGGACUUUCAAGAUUUGGAGUCGGCCUUGUCAAACCCGCCACUCUAUGGAAGUAGCUGACCAGCGGACAGAGCCAAUGCUAUAGAACUGAACAGGUUCUUGAGUGAAGUACCGCGGUACGUGGGCUGAACUUCUUGACGUGGUCAGAGUUCCCGUAGUUGGAGCCGAGUUUGGCCGAGUGGCCUCUUUAGGUUAGAACCGAUCCUCCGAACGGCUCGGAGGCCCGGUAUUGGGACGUCUUCUUGUUGAAGUGACCCUAAUAGGGCGAUAGUGACUGGUUGGAGAGUAGCAAUAUGUCCUAUCUCACGAGGACCUUGGUCGAACUCCCAUGGUAGGGACUCCCGGAACCGUCCGAGCCAUCAGAACGCAAACACCGGAAACUAAACUUGGCGGAGAGUCCGUGGCAGGGGAGUUGAAAGAAGUUGGUAAGGAGAGAUUAGCCGAACUCAAACCGCCAUUUACUUAACGUGCCGUGUGACGGGAGACUGAAACCCUUAUCGGAUGGUUUAGACGUCAUGAACGAGGAACUGCGGUUGGUGAAGUGUCCUUCGUAAGGUCGGAGAGAUCGGUUAAGUUGGUACGAGAUGAAACAUCUGUAGAGGAAAUUGUUGAAGCGACCUGCACACGGUGGUCUCUAGCCCUUCGAAACGGGUGUGUACGAGAGAGAGAGUUGUUUAGUCGAGUUCCGUUGAUCACGACUUCCGACCGUCAAGUACUGCGUGAACUGUUUGACGUGUGCGGAGGCAAUGGAACUGGAAGUCCCGUUGUACGAGCCGCCGCACGACGGCUCGAGACAACGGUUAGAUAGUCGUGUAGAUCUUUAGGAAAUGGAACCUAAGUUACUCUAAUGACCUUGUUAUGGUGUUCCGUAAUGACUUGAACAUCCCAAUUCAGACAACGUCGAGAGAUUAUUGGCAAAAUGGCCACUUAACGGACCGUCGUAACCUUCCGAUUUAAACGAUCUCCGGAACACCAAACUUUUAUUGGCUGACUUUCCCAGGGACGGUAAGAGGGAACCCUUGAACUGCGCCGAUCGUUCAGAAAUGCGUCUCCCGUUGUUGAAACUCCCCGCAGAAGGUUGUUCGGAUCCCUCGGAGGUCCUCUAAUGAUGUCGGUUAAAAAGUUUGUUAUACAAGUGUCCAGGUAACGGAUUUGUCUAGAAAAUGGAUAGAAGGGACUGUUUGCGGGACCUAAACAGUCUAUUAAUAAAACAACCAUGUGAAGGUGGUCUUCAACCGGAGGAGUGUUUUCAACGUAUGUACAUGUAGAGGUUGUUGUUGGACAGUCCCGGGGACGGGCUACGUGACUCGUUAACGGUUUCGAACUAUGUGGAGGCCAACCUGGCAUUGAGGUAGUUAUCAUCGUAAGGACGAAGACACUCGUUUUACGUUCCGAACUAUAACGAUUUGGAAUGGUUUUUGUGUGAGAGGCCAUACUAAGGAGCUCUCGAUCCUGAGUACCUACCGUAAGUUCUUAACGUAGAGCGUGUGUUGUUGGACAGACCAGUAUAGUGACUUUCGAAACCCUUGUACUGUAGCAACAUAGCCAAUCUGGACAGAAAGUUGGCAGAACUGCCGUCUCAAGGUAGUGUCCCACACAAGUCAUUGCACUGUCCCAAAAGGAAACUUCCCUUGAGCCCGGAGACACCACCGCAGAGUCUUAAUGUAAACGGGGAUACGGGCGGUCUUAGGUACCUUGUACCAGAUUCCUUUGCAGUAAACGACUACUUUCAUCAAUAAGGUUAACGACGACCGUAGUAAUAUCCGAGCUCAGACUAAGAACAAAAGAAGUGUUAUUCUUUCUUUGGUUUUCGAGUUAGACGUUGGUGAUCCCCUAAGGUUAACCGUCUACUGUUAAUAGGAUCUCAAAGAAUACGACCUAACCAGGUUCCUUGUUUAACGAAACGGUGUCUGUUAAACUAACCAUCUCCUUCCAUACCUAGACACAUAUUCACGCCAAACGACGAUUUUUUAUGCUACUGGUGUCAACGACACUUCUAAAAACUAGAAGUUGUUAGACCGAGGAGGUUUUCGAAAGAUCGACUCACACUCUGACACUCCGUGAAUCAUUCUAUGCGGUAGCAUUAAACCAGUCACAGUAGUGAACGACGAGUUCGAACCUGAGUUUGGUUUUGCUGAAGUUUCGGUAACACAAACUCGAGUACGGAUUACCCUUGGAUCUAUUCACCGACGUAGGCCUACAUGUACGUAGCGUCGUCGACGUCCCGAACUGUUACCACGUCUCCAAUUUAUAACGGCAACUACAACGACUACGUGAUCUAAUGAACGUGUUGACGCUUGGAGGUCAACAAGUGACACUAAACUUCGGUCCGUUGUAAGAAGAACUAUGCAUAAAUCAACGAGUGUAACCCCUGAAACCGGAACGUUUCUAAGAGAGCCUAGGUCUUCCCCUCGUUGGUUAGUUAAGUUUCUCGAGAUAGCCUUAUUCUCCUUGUUAACCUAUAGAGCGAGGUCCAUCGAGUUUUAAAGAAAUUUGUCAAGA
Molecule: ribosomal RNA, 2870 nt
Filed under: Triticum aestivum (bread wheat)
Lineage: Eukaryota; Viridiplantae; Streptophyta; Magnoliopsida; Poales; Poaceae
Description: partial small subunit ribosomal RNA
Source: RNAcentral